This 2333-nucleotide unclassified non-coding RNA is filed under the name Hevea brasiliensis (rubber tree). The record is from RNAcentral. Lineage: Eukaryota; Viridiplantae; Streptophyta; Magnoliopsida; Malpighiales; Euphorbiaceae.
CUCUCUCUCUCUCUCUCUCUCACAGCCUUUUGGCGUUGUGCCCUUGAAGGAAUCUUUGCUGUCUCACCUCCUCCAAGCCAGUAACUCUAUUCUUCUCGCCGCCGCCCUAGAUCUCGCUGCAAGCGCAGCUGCUGCUUGGCUGCUCUGUCCUCUAUAGCAGAAUCGUAGAAUUGCAGUACGGCAUUAUUGGUGUUCAUUCUUGUGGGUUCUUGCUCAGUUGCUCGGUGGGCACCUACAUUGUCAUUGUCGAAGUUAACUGCUUUGCUUGCUACUUGCUUUCCCUUGCACUCAGCACUGAACCUUAAAAAAUUCAUAAGAGAAAUAUGUAUGGCUUGAUUACCUCCUCCGCUGCUACCACGUCCGCCACUUCCAACUCUCUGUCUUCUCGCAUUCCCUUUGCCCUACUUCGUCAAAGAAUCACCAACACCGCUUCGUGCUCACAAUUGAAGUCAUGCGUUCAAGUUAACGGUAACUCGUUGCGGUCAAGUUAUAGUGCUAUUAAAGCCAUGGCUGACUCUCAUACCCUUUCAGUGCCAAAGAAUGAGCCUCAAGCCUCUGCUUCUGUCAGCAGGCAAGCUCUGAUAUCUUUAUCGGACAAAAAGGACCUGGCUUUUCUUGGUAGCGGGCUACAAAAUUUAGGGUACACAAUUGUUUCAACAGGAGGAACAGCAUCUGCUUUAGAAAGUAUUGGGGUGUCUGUAACUAAAGUGGAGCAACUUACUCGUUUUCCUGAAAUGCUUGAUGGUCGUGUGAAAACUUUACAUCCCAACAUCCAUGGGGGUAUUCUUGCUAGAAGGGAUCAGAAGCAUCAUAUGGAAGCUCUUAAUAAACAUGAAAUUGGUGUUUUUGAUGUAGUAGUGGUGAACUUGUAUCCCUUUUAUGAUAAAGUUACAUCAACUGGGGGAAUUGAGUUUGAGGAUGGAAUUGAGAACAUUGACAUUGGUGGCCCUGCAAUGAUCAGAGCUGCUGCAAAGAAUCACAAGGAUGUCUUGGUGGUUGUUGACUCUCAAGACUAUCCCGCACUGCUAGAUUUCCUUAAAGGAAACCAGGAUGAUCAGCAGUUCCGUAGAAAGCUUGCCUGGAAAGCUUUUCAACAUGUUGCUUCUUAUGAUUGUGCAGUUUCUGAGUGGCUUUGGAAACAAACUGUGGGAGAUAAAUUCCCUCCCAGUCUAACGGUGCCUCUCUCGCUUAAGAGUUCUCUUCGUUAUGGUGAAAAUCCUCACCAAAAGGCUGCAUUUUAUGUUGACAAGAGUAUUUCUGACGUUAAUGCUGGUGGAAUUGCUACAGCUAUUCAACACCAUGGGAAGGAGAUGUCAUAUAACAACUACUUAGAUGCUGAUGCAGCUUGGAAUUGUGUAUCAGAAUUUAAGAACCCUACUUGUGUUAUUGUUAAGCACACAAAUCCUUGUGGGGUAGCUUCUCGUGAUGAUAUCCAUGAAGCAUAUAGGCUGGCUGUGAGAGCAGAUCCAGUGAGUGCAUUUGGUGGCAUUGUAGCCUUCAAUAUAGAGGUUGAUGAGGCUCUUGCUAAGGAAAUCAGGGAGUUUAGAAGCCCAACUGAUGGUGAAACUCGAAUGUUUUAUGAGAUUGUCGUUGCUCCUAAGUAUACAAAAAAGGGGCUUGAGAUUCUCAAGGGAAAAUCGAAGACACUAAGGAUCCUUGAGGCAAAAAAGAAUGAAAAAGGGAAGCUGUCUCUGAGACAAGUUGGUGGUGGAUGGUUAGCUCAGGAUUCAGAUGACUUGACCCCCCAAGAUAUUCAAUUCGGUGUCAUGUCUGAGAAGGCUCCACAAGAAAGUGAACUUUGUGAUGCAGAGUUUGCAUGGCUGUGUGUCAAGCAUAUAAAGAGCAAUGCCAUAGUAAUAGCAAAGAAUAACUGUAUGCUAGGCAUGGGAAGCGGGCAGCCAAACCGGCUGGAAAGUUUGAGAAUAGCCUUGAGGAAAUCAGGAGAUGAGGUCAAAGGAGCUGCUUUGGCCAGCGAUGCAUUCUUUCCAUUCGCUUGGAAUGAUGCAGUGGAAGAGGCAUGUGAGGCUGGGAUUGGUGUUAUUGCAGAGCCAGGUGGGAGCAUCAGGGAUAAGGAUGCCAUAGACUGCUGCAACAAGCAUGGGGUUUCAUUGCUUUUUACGAAUGUGAGACACUUUAGGCACUGAGAGAUUUCGGCAAUCUCUACAUUUUUGAGUUAUAAACCUUGCGCAUGGUGCCCUCGCGGCUCAUUUUCAUUGUGCAAUUUAUAAUGAUGUGCUGUAAGGGCUCCAGAUUUUCAAAUGCCCUUGUAAUCAAAUAAUGUUCCUUGAAACAAUGCUGCAAGUAAACUAUAAUGUCUGCACUUCGCAACUUCC